Quercus robur (English oak) is the source of this 948-nucleotide RNA transcript. RefSeq lists it as uncharacterized. The transcript has 5 exons. The record is from RefSeq and is a predicted model, not a curated record. Lineage: Eukaryota; Viridiplantae; Streptophyta; Magnoliopsida; Fagales; Fagaceae.
UUUCAUUUACAACCAUUCCAAAGCUCAGCAAACUGUUAACUGUUGAGUAAGGUUUUGUAGAAAGAAAGUACAAAAAAAAAAAAAACUUCAUUUUCCAAUUCCAUUAAGGCCAUUGCAGACGACAAUGAUGCGAAGUUGGAGCGCUAAGCUUCGGUCUCUAGCCCUUCAAUCGCCUCACCCUCUGCGGUCUAUCUCUUCUUCUUCUUCUUUUACUUCACGCCGCCUCAUCCACUCCUCCCCACAGCUUCACCAACCCAUCCAUUUUGCUUCGUGUAGAUCGAGGUUCAAUGCCUCUUCAACAACCCAUUCUUCAUUGGCUUUGCAGCCCUUUCUGGCUCCCCCGUUUCCUCCUUCUGUGAAUCAAGUGCGGCACGUUUCAUCGAGAGAGCGGAAGAAGAGGAGAAAGCCAAUGACACCGGUCACGUCCAAGAUAAAGAAAACCAAAAUGAAGUUUUUUUCGUCUUUCAAGUCCAGGUUUAGGGUGAUGAAUGAUGGGAAUAUUCGGCGUUGGAAGGAGGGAAAGCGGCACAAUGCACAUUUGAAGUCAAAGAAAUCAAAACGUAGGCUCAGACAACCUGGCAUUGUCCCUGCUGCUUAUGCCAAAGUGAUGAAGAAGCUCAAUUUUUGUGGUUAAACAUUAGGAUUCCAAAGUAGGUGCUGCCAAUUCCUGGAAUUAAAGAGGGAAAAAUUCUCCUCCAGCCUUCUGUUUUUUCAUGCUUUCCUCCUACUGCUUGCAUUUCAGUCCCUCAAUCAAGCAGGUUGUAGAGCAGGAUUUUUGUAGCUGGUUGUUUACAACAAUUGGUAAAUUCAAUUUAAGGCAAUGGCUUAGCCAAAUGAUUCUUAUCAAGUCUGAUAUUACUGUUGAAACUAAUACCAACUCUUUGUGGGCUUACUGUGGUUUUAUAAUCGUUACACAUUUCAUAACCCAAUCAAUAAAGAGAUUUUAGA